AUUGAACGCUGGCGGCAGGCCUAACACAUGCAAGUCGAGCGGUAGCACAGAGAGCUUGCUCUCGGGUGACGAGCGGCGGACGGGUGAGUAAUGUCUGGGAAACUGCCUGAUGGAGGGGGAUAACUACUGGAAACGGUAGCUAAUACCGCAUAAUGUCGCAAGACCAAAGUGGGGGACCUUCGGGCCUCAUGCCAUCAGAUGUGCCCAGAUGGGAUUAGCUAGUAGGUGGGGUAACGGCUCACCUAGGCGACGAUCCCUAGCUGGUCUGAGAGGAUGACCAGCCACACUGGAACUGAGACACGGUCCAGACUCCUACGGGAGGCAGCAGUGGGGAAUAUUGCACAAUGGGCGCAAGCCUGAUGCAGCCAUGCCGCGUGUGUGAAGAAGGCCUUCGGGUUGUAAAGCACUUUCAGCGGGGAGGAAGGCGGUGAGGUUAAUAACCUCAUCGAUUGACGUUACCCGCAGAAGAAGCACCGGCUAACUCCGUGCCAGCAGCCGCGGUAAUACGGAGGGUGCAAGCGUUAAUCGGAAUUACUGGGCGUAAAGCGCACGCAGGCGGUCUGUCAAGUCGGAUGUGAAAUCCCCGGGCUCAACCUGGGAACUGCAUUCGAAACUGGCAGGCUAGAGUCUUGUAGAGGGGGGUAGAAUUCCAGGUGUAGCGGUGAAAUGCGUAGAGAUCUGGAGGAAUACCGGUGGCGAAGGCGGCCCCCUGGACAAAGACUGACGCUCAGGUGCGAAAGCGUGGGGAGCAAACAGGAUUAGAUACCCUGGUAGUCCACGCCGUAAACGAUGUCGAUUUGGAGGUUGUGCCCUUGAGGCGUGGCUUCCGGAGCUAACGCGUUAAAUCGACCGCCUGGGGAGUACGGCCGCAAGGUUAAAACUCAAAUGAAUUGACGGGGGCCCGCACAAGCGGUGGAGCAUGUGGUUUAAUUCGAUGCAACGCGAAGAACCUUACCUGGUCUUGACAUCCACAGAACUUAGCAGAGAUGCUUUGGUGCCUUCGGGAACUGUGAGACAGGUGCUGCAUGGCUGUCGUCAGCUCGUGUUGUGAAAUGUUGGGUUAAGUCCCGCAACGAGCGCAACCCUUAUCCUUUGUUGCCAGCGGUCCGGCCGGGAACUCAAAGGAGACUGCCAGUGAUAAACUGGAGGAAGGUGGGGAUGACGUCAAGUCAUCAUGGCCCUUACGACCAGGGCUACACACGUGCUACAAUGGCAUAUACAAAGAGAAGCGACCUCGCGAGAGCAAGCGGACCUCAUAAAGUAUGUCGUAGUCCGGAUUGGAGUCUGCAACUCGACUGCGUGAAGUCGGAAUCGCUAGUAAUCGCGGAUCAGCAUGUCGCGGUGAAUACGUUCCCGGGUCUUGUACACACCGCCCGUCACACCAUGGGAGUGGGUUUUACCAGAAGUAGUUAGCCUAACCGCAAGGGGGGCGAUUACCACGGUAGGAUUCAUGACUGGGGUGA
This 1463-nucleotide ribosomal RNA is filed under the name uncultured Klebsiella sp. RNAcentral's name for it is "bacterial SSU rRNA". It matches the Rfam family "Bacterial small subunit ribosomal RNA". The record is from RNAcentral. Lineage: Bacteria; Pseudomonadati; Pseudomonadota; Gammaproteobacteria; Enterobacterales; Enterobacteriaceae.